Molecule: long non-coding RNA, 831 nt
Organism: Salvelinus namaycush (lake trout)
Lineage: Eukaryota; Metazoa; Chordata; Actinopteri; Salmoniformes; Salmonidae
Exons: 3
Source: RefSeq, a predicted model, not a curated record
CCCUCUUCCCAGCACACCUGUAUUCUCACCUCCUCAACAAAGCCCUGUAAACAGGAUGAGAAAAGAGCCACCUCUGUCCCCUAGGUGCUGUUACAUACCACAUGUCAGAGGAAAAAUGGAGUACUUGACCAUCCACCUCUUCAGAGCUCAGAUGGGAGCUGUCAUCAAGAUAUCACGGCCUGAAUGAGACUACCAACCCCUUCAGGAACACUCGGGAGUCCCAUCUCAUCUGAGAAAGGGAGGACCUGCAUUUGAUGGCCCACCCCCCUCCCUCGUCUCAUCGAUGGCCAUCUUGCAUACACAGUGAGACGCCUCCUGAGUGUUCGACCUCGGGGCAGGGGUUUCCAGUAUCUGGUUGACUGGGAGGGUUAUGGCCCGGAGGAGAGGUGCUGGGUACCCGCUAAGGACAUCCUGGACUCGGCCCUCAUCCCUGACUUUCACCGCCAGCAUCCCGGUCAACCAGGUAUGCGCCCGGGUAGGAUGCCAGGUGCCGCCCCUAGAGGGAAGGAGUGGUACUGUCACACGUUGAUCUGUUUUACCUGUCUUGUGCUUGUCUCCACUCCCCACUAGGUGUCUUCAAUUUGUUCCCAUUAUCCCCUGUGUAUCUACCAGCGUGUUUUUCCAUACUCGUGUUUUUCUAGUCCCUGUUUUCUAGUCCUCCCGGUUCCAACAUUUUCUGCCUGCCCUGACCCUGAGCCCGCCUGCCAUACCAUUCUGCCUUCCCUGACCUUGAGCCCGCCUGCCGUCCUGUACCCAUCUGACUCUGACCUGGUUUACGAACUUCCGCCUGUCCUCAUCCUGCCUCUUGCCUGCCCCUUGUCUAUUAAUAAA